AGUCACUGACAUUAGAUACCCGGUAGUCCCAGCCGUAAACAAUGUGCGUUAGGUGUGUCGGUAACCACGCGUUACUGAUGCGCCGAAGAGAAAUCGUGAAACGCACCACCUGGGAAGUACGGUCGCAAGGCUGAAACUUAAAGGAAUUGGCGGGGAGCACCACAACAGGUGGAGCCUGCGGUUUAAUUGGAUUCAACGCCGGACAUCUCACCGGAUAAGACAGCUGAAUGAUUGUCAAUCUGAAGGUUUUACAUGACUAGCUG
This 263-nucleotide ribosomal RNA is filed under the name uncultured archaeon. RNAcentral's name for it is "partial 16S ribosomal RNA". It matches the Rfam family "Archaeal small subunit ribosomal RNA", at positions 718 to 982 of the family's 1478-position model. The record is from RNAcentral.